AGACAACAGUCUAACAAUAAUCUUGUACUAACUCGUCUAAUAUCAGGAUCGAUCACAAUGAGCAAAUUCACUGAUGUGGCCAGUAGAGUCGGUUCCGGAUUUAUAUGGUUUUUGAUUCUAAUUUGCCUCAGUUGGCCUUUCGCAUUUCCCGCUACUUUGCUAUACGUUCUAACGCUGCCCUUUGCGGGACGCUCUGAAAUAACCAGGACAAUAAGUAAUAACUUACUCCGUUUUGUGCAACUUCCAUUGAGAUGUGCAAACAAUAUGUUUGCAUGUGCACCACUCUGUAACUCAGAAUGUGAUGGGUAGUAUGCAUACGAUUUAUACUUUGCUGAUCGAUAAAAUGGCGCAAUACUUUAAAUGCCUUUUUACUCUCCAACGACUAUUGCCAGGAAAAAAAACUGUAAUAAUUGAUCGAUGUUUAAUAAGGUAUUGCUGUACAUUGUUGUCUAAUAAUUGAAAUAUAAACGCAAUUAAAUGUUAAAACAA
Long non-coding RNA from Magallana angulata, 489 nucleotides. RefSeq lists it as uncharacterized. The transcript has 2 exons. The record is from RefSeq and is a predicted model, not a curated record. Lineage: Eukaryota; Metazoa; Mollusca; Bivalvia; Ostreida; Ostreidae.